Molecule: non-coding RNA, 21 nt
Filed under: Arabidopsis thaliana (thale cress)
Lineage: Eukaryota; Viridiplantae; Streptophyta; Magnoliopsida; Brassicales; Brassicaceae
Source: RNAcentral
GCGAUACUUGGUGUGAAUUGC